Molecule: long non-coding RNA, 671 nt
Organism: Mauremys reevesii (Reeves's turtle)
Lineage: Eukaryota; Metazoa; Chordata; Testudines; Geoemydidae
Exons: 5
Source: RefSeq, a predicted model, not a curated record
AUAAAAGUCAGAUGAAGAUAGUCAAGGCCUAAAUCAAAGAAGAAUUUGCAUUCAGAGGUGCCUUGAUGGGACCCUCUAUCAUGCCCUUGUGGAGAUGUCUUACAUGACCGUGCCUCAGACAGCAGGGUCCAGAGCUUCCUGGAAUUUCUGAAGCAUCGUUGGGAGCUCAAGAUUUCGCCGUCUCCUAAACCACUUUUCCACCAAAUGAACUGUCCAGUUACACUUUUUGGCCAGGCCUUGAAUCUCAGACUGCAAAAGGAGAGAAGUGUGUCAGUGACAAAAAGUAACAUCUACAUCAGGUACCAGCUCCGCCGACUUUGUAUUUUAAAGAACAACGUCCCGAAAUAGGCAGCAUUUACGGCUAUGAAUGAGAGAUUUGAGCGAGGAGGAUUUGGUACAGUGCCAUAACGUGUAGAUUUGCUAUAUCUCAAUCCUACACAACUGAUCUGAAGACUCAGGGAGAGGAAGGAGGAGCUGGACCAGUGUGAGAAUCGGACCAUCAGCAUCACAAAAGCAUAUGGUAUCGUGGCAUAUAAUUGAUAUGGCUUUGGAAAGACGAUGCCAUCAUGGUCUUCAAGAUCUGCCCAUGUGCAAUUGGCAGGCAUCCAUAAGUUCUCCCACCAGAACCAGCUGUUGAGUGUCUUUAAUACAUAUGCCAUGCUAAGCAGGUA